Molecule: ribosomal RNA, 2540 nt
Filed under: Drosophila serrata
Lineage: Eukaryota; Metazoa; Arthropoda; Insecta; Diptera; Drosophilidae
Description: eukaryotic LSU rRNA
Rfam family: Eukaryotic large subunit ribosomal RNA (bases 570-2540)
Source: RNAcentral
ACUCUAAGCGGUGGAUCACUCGGCUCAUGGGUCGAUGAAGAACGCAGCAAACUGUGCGUCAUCGUGUGAACUGCAGGACACAUGAACAUCGACAUUUUGAACGCAUAUCGCAGUCCAUGCUGUUAUGUACUUUAAUUAAUUUUAAAGUGCUGCUUGGACUACAUAUGGUUGAGGGUUGUAAGACUAUGCAAAAUAAGUUGUUCAUAAAUUUCAUUUCAUGAUUUUUAUAAGCACAUGGUAUAUUAUUGGGUAUAAUAAUUAUUAAUUGUUAUAUUCAUAAUAUUAAAAAUUAUAUGAAAAACAUUAUUCUCACAUUGUUGUAAAUAUUUGAAUGUGAAAACGAAGAGAAAUAUUUUCUUUUUUUUUAAAUCAAAUAAUACUGAGAAAUGUCUAGCAUAAAAAAUGUGAAAAUAUUUUUCAUCUAGAAUUGUCUCUUAUUAAUGAUGCAAAAAAUCGAAAAAUGUUGCUAAUGUUAUUAUUCUUCGUUUGGUUUGUUAAAAAAUAUAACAAAUUUAAAUAUAUAAUGUUUUCUCUAUAUAAAAAGAAUUAAUGCUAAUAAAUGUUUUAUACAACCUCAACUCAUAUGGGACUACCCCCUGAAUUUAAGCAUAUUAAUUAGGGGAGGAAAAGAAACUAACAAGGAUUUUCUUAGUAGCGGCGAGCGAAAAGAAAUCAGUUCAGCACUAAGUCACUUUGUCUAUAUGGCAAAUGUGAGAUGCAGUGUAUGGAGCGUCAAUAUUCUAGUAUGAGAAAUUAACGAUUUAAGUCCUUCUUAAAUGAGGCCAUUUACCCAUAGAGGGUGCCAGGCCCGUAUAACGUUAAUGAUUACUAGAUGAUGUUUCCAAAGAGUCGUGUUGCUUGAUAGUGCAGCACUAAGUGGGUGGUAAACUCCAUCUAAAACUAAAUAUAACCAUGAGACCGAUAGUAAACAAGUACCGUGAGGGAAAGUUGAAAAGAACUCUGAAUAGAGAGUUAAACAGUACGUGAAACUGCUUAGAGGUUAAGCCCGAUGAACCUGAAUAUCCGUUAUGGAAAAUUCAUCAUUAGACUUGUAGUAUUUAAACAAUAUUAUGAUAAUAGUGUGCAUUUUUUCCAUAUAAGGACAUUGUAAUCUAUUAACAUAACUAAAUUUAUCAUAAAAUAUGGCUUAUAGUUUAUUCAAAUUAUUAUGCUUGCAUUUUAACAUAGAAUAAAUGUCAUUAAUUUGAUAAAGUGCUGAUAGAUUUAUAUGACUACAGUGCGUUAAUUUUUCGGAAUUAUAUAAUGGCAUAAUUAUCAUUGAUUUUUGUGUUUAUUAUAUGCACUUGUACGAUUAACAAUGCGAAAGAUUCAGGAUACCUUCGGGACCCGUCUUGAAACACGGACCAAGGAGUCUAACAUAUGUGCAAGUUAUUGGGAUAUAAACCUAAUAGCGUAAUUAACUUGACUAAUAAUGGGAUUAGUUUUUUAACUAUUUAUAGCUAAUUAACACAAUCCCGGGGCGUUCUAUAUAGUUAUGUAUAAUAAUAUUUAUAUUAUUUAUGCCUCUAACUGGAACGUACCUUGAGCAGAUAUGCUGUGACCCGAAAGAUGGUGAACUAUACUUGAUCAGGUUGAAGUCAGGGGAAACCCUGAUGGAAGACCGAAACAGUUCUGACGUGCAAAUCGAUUGUCAGAAUUGAGUAUAGGGGCGAAAGACCAAUCGAACCAUCUAGUAGCUGGUUCCUUCCGAAGUUUCCCUCAGGAUAGCUGGUGCAUUUUAAUGUUAUAUAAAAUAAUCUUAUCUGGUAAAGCGAAUGAUUAGAGGCCUUAGGGUCGAAACGAUCUUAACCUAUUCUCAAACUUUAAAUGGGUAAGAACCUUAACUUUCUUGAUAUGAAGUUUAAGGUUAUGAUAUAAUGUGCCCAGUGGGCCACUUUUGGUAAGCAGAACUGGCGCUGUGGGAUGAACCAAACGUAAUGUUACGGUGCCCAAAUUAACAACUCAUGCAGAUACCAUGAAAGGCGUUGGUUGCUUAAAACAGCAGGACGGUGAUCAUGGAAGUCGAAAUCCGCUAAGGAGUGUGUAACAACUCACCUGCCGAAGCAACUAGCCCUUAAAAUGGAUGGCGCUUAAGUUGUAUACCUAUACAUUACCGCUAAAGUAGAUGAUUUAUAUUACUUGUAAUAUAAAUUUUGAAACUUUAGUGAGUAGGAAGGUACAAUGGUAUGCGUAGAAGUGUUUGGCGUAAGCCUGCAUGGAGCUGCCAUUGGUACAGAUCUUGGUGGUAGUAGCAAAUAAUCGAAUGAGACCUUGGAGGACUGAAGUGGAGAAGGGUUUCGUGUGAACAGUGGUUGAUCACGAGUUAGUCGGUCCUAAGUUCAAGGCGAAAGCCGAAAAUUUUCAAGUAAUAAAAUGACUAUAUAUUACAAAAAUGCCAAUUAAUAUACUUGAAUAAUUUUGAACGAAAGGGAAUACGGUUCCAAUUCCGUAACCUGUUGAGUAUCCGUUUGUUAUUAAAUAUGGGCCUCGUGCUCAUCCUGGGCAACAGGAACGACCAUAAAGAAGCCGUCGAGAGAUAU